UAGGGAAUAUUGGGCAAUGGACGAGAGUCUGACCCAGCCAUGCCGCGUGCAGGAUGAAGGCCUUCUGGGUUGUAAACUGCUUUUAUCUAGGAAGAAAAAACUCUUGCGAGAGGAACUGACGGUACUAGAUGAAUAAGCACCGGCUAACUCCGUGCCAGCAGCCGCGGUAAUACGGAGGGUGCAAGCGUUGUCCGGAUUUAUUGGGUUUAAAGGGUGCGUAGGCGGCCUUAUAAGUCAGUGGUGAAAGCCCAUCGCUCAACGAUGGAACUGCCAUUGAUACUGUAAGGCUUGAGUACAGACGAGGUAGGCGGAAUUGAUGGUGUAGCGGUGAAAUGCAUAGAUACCAUCAAGAACACCGAUUGCGUAGGCAGCUUACUAGGCUGUAACUGACGCUGAGGCACGAAAGCGUGGGGAGCGAA
Molecule: ribosomal RNA, 419 nt
Filed under: uncultured bacterium
Lineage: Bacteria
Description: bacterial SSU rRNA
Rfam family: Bacterial small subunit ribosomal RNA
Source: RNAcentral